Molecule: long non-coding RNA, 1346 nt
Filed under: Rattus norvegicus (Norway rat)
Lineage: Eukaryota; Metazoa; Chordata; Mammalia; Rodentia; Muridae
Description: long non-coding RNA NONRATT027799
Source: RNAcentral
CGUUGGCCGGAAGAGGAAGCGCACACUCUGAUUGCGAGGCCGCCAACGUUCGCUAGGCGCCCCUGAACGCUGGCUGCUGCCCGCUCGGACUCGCACGUCCGUUAUCUUGAUAGAGCCUGGCUCGGGUUGGGAUGCCGGGGACGGUCCGGGCUUACGGAGGAGGAAACGGAAAUCCGCAGAGGCGAAGGGGUUCGCCUGAGGUCCGCCAGUGGCGGAUGGGAUUCACCUUUGGACUCGCUGCUUUUCCCCAGCCGGUGUUCCUUCCUCCUGCUUCACUCUAGAUCCAUUCCUCCGCUCUCUCUGUCUCGCUGCCAUUCUGUUCCACCCAUUCGCUACAGGGUCCUUGCCCUUCCUGUCCAGCUUGCUCAUCCUCUUUAACUAAGCCUUGCUGUUCCUACUGUCUUCUCGCGCCACAUUCGCUGCCACACCUCUCCUUCCUCAUUCAUAGCUUUCAAGCCCUUACCUCGAUAAACUUUCUCAGCUGUAGACACCGAAGAGUGAAAAGGCUAGGCUCCAGUGAGGUGUGCAGGGUCUAGACGACUGAUUGGUCUUUACUGUAAAAAGCUACGGGAUGCCAUUUCUGUAGACCCCACCCCAAGAAUCCCGAAGCUCUUUUUAAUCCAAUAUGUCAUUCUCGGAAUGAGGGGCUUCGCACUUUGGGGAGGUGUCUUGACUCUUAGCCAAUUGCUACUAACAUUUUUUACCCCCGCUUGCCACAUAGCUCCCUCACCUCUAUGUGGCAUACAGAGCUUGGAGUCUAAACUGUUAACAACAUGCAAUUUAUUGUUGCAAAAUAACACACACAUUUUUUUCCUAAGCUAGACUAUCAACUGGCUUCGUGAUUAUUUUUUUUUUCUUUUUAGAAAAGCUACUUGUGGGGGUUGGGGAUUUAACUCAGUGGUAGAGCGCUUCCCUAGCAAGCGCAAGGCCCUGGGUUUGGUCCCCAGCUCCGAAAAAAAAAGAAAAGAAAAGAAAAACUACUUAUCUCACUUAUUUUCAAUAUUAUGGCAAGAAAAAGAAGGCAAAAAUGGAAUACACUUUAAACGAAUAGGACAUCUUUGUCAAAAAUUCUAGCUGGCUGUAGUGGUGCAUACCUGUAACCCUAGCAUUUGUGAGGCUGAGGCAAGAGGAUCUUGAGUUCAAGACUAGCCUCGGCUACAGAGAGACGCUGCCUACAAACGGAAAAGUGAACACAAUUUAGUUGAUUAAAUUCAAGUUCCCUUUCUGCAAACAAUGGCCCAUAAUGCACACUCCAUUGUACUGAAUUUAUUCUCUCACCAGCUUGAUAUGACUUUAUGUAAAAGGAACAUAGGCACAUAGAAAUAAAUUCUAUCUUUGUGUGUGUG